This is a small nucleolar RNA of Nycticebus coucang (slow loris), 132 nucleotides long. The record is from RefSeq and is a predicted model, not a curated record. NCBI's taxonomy places the organism in Eukaryota, Metazoa, Chordata, Mammalia, Primates, Lorisidae.
GUUGAUGUCUAUCCCAAUGGAGCUAUUUCUGUAGCCACAUAUUGUUGGGAAUACCUCAUAGAGUAACUUUAUGGUCUUGCUUUAUUCACAGAACUGUUUGUUAGGUCUGUGGGAAGGAACUACAAAAUAAUU